RNAcentral lists this ribosomal RNA (346 nucleotides) under uncultured bacterium. Its description in RNAcentral is "partial 16S ribosomal RNA". It matches the Rfam family "Bacterial small subunit ribosomal RNA", at positions 74 to 422 of the family's 1533-position model. The record is from RNAcentral.
AGUCCUUCGGGAUGAGUAAAGUGGCGCACGGGUGAGUAACACAUAGGAACGUACCUACGGGUGGGGAAUAACGACGGGAAACUGUCGCUAAUACCGCAUAAUAUCGAGAGAUUAAAGGGGGCGACGCGCAAGCAGCUCUCGCCUGUAGAUCGGCCUAUGUCCCAUUAGCUAGUUGGCGAGGUAAAGGCUCACCAAGGCGACGAUGGGUAGCUGGUCUGAGAGGAUGAUCAGCCACACUGGAACUGAGACACGGUCCAGACUCCUACGGGAGGCAGCAGUGGGGAAUCUUGCACAAUGGGCGAAAGCCUGAUGCAGCAACGCCGCGUGGGUGAUGAAGCCCUUCGGG